AGUAACGACGUGGAGUAACCUAGCCAUACACAGGGGGAUAACAGUUAGAAAUGACUGCUAAUACCGCAUAAGCGCCCGAGGGGGCAUCCUCUCGAGUGAAAAGCGAAUACGGUGUAUGAUGGGUCCGCGUCCGAUUAGCCAGUUGGCGGGGUAAGAGCCCACCAAAGCGACGAUCGGUAGCCGGCCUGAGAGGGUGAACGGCCACAUUGGGACUGAGAGACGGCCCAAACUCCUACGGGAGGCAGCAGUGGGGGAUAUUGCACAAUGGGGGGAACCCUGAUGCAGCGAACCGCCGCGUGAGUGAAGAAGUUAUUCGUAAUGUAAAGCUCUAUCAGCAGGGAAGAAGCAGACGGUACCUGACUAAGAAGCACCGGCUAAAUACGUGCCAGCAGCCGC
This 396-nucleotide ribosomal RNA is filed under the name uncultured bacterium. RNAcentral describes it as "bacterial SSU rRNA". It matches the Rfam family "Bacterial small subunit ribosomal RNA", at positions 109 to 518 of the family's 1533-position model. The record is from RNAcentral.